This 542-nucleotide ribosomal RNA is filed under the name Cobitis striata hakataensis. RNAcentral's name for it is "partial 12S ribosomal RNA". It matches the Rfam family "Bacterial small subunit ribosomal RNA", at positions 7 to 927 of the family's 1533-position model. The record is from RNAcentral. Lineage: Eukaryota; Metazoa; Chordata; Actinopteri; Cypriniformes; Cobitidae.
CAAAGGCUUGGUCCUGACUUUACCAUCAGCUUUAAACCAAUUUACACAUGCAAGUCUCCGCAAACCCGUGAGAAUGCCCUCAAUCCCCUGCCCGGGGACGAGGAGCAGGCAUCAGGCACAAAUUUUAGCCCAAGACGCCUUGCCAUGCCACACCCCCAAGGGAACUCAGCAGUGAUAAAUAUUAAGCCAUAAGUGAAAGCUUGACUUAGUUAGAGAUAAUAAGGGCCGGUAAAACUCGUGCCAGCCACCGCGGUUAUACGAGAGGCCCUAGUUGAUGGACACGGCGUAAAGGGUGGUUAAGGUCCAAAAUUAAUAAAGCCAAAAGACCUCUUGGCUGUCAUACGCCCCUGAGUGUCUGAAGCCCACACACGAAAGUAGCUUUAAUAUUAGUCUACCUGACCCCACGAAAGCUGAGAAACAAACUGGGAUUAGAUACCCCACUAUGCUCAGCCAUAAACUUAGACGUUUCUUCACAAUAAACGUCCGCCAGGGUACUACGAGCAUUAGCUUAAAACCCAAAGGACUUGGCGGUGCCUUAGACC